GAUGAAGAACGCAGCGAAAUGCGAUAACUAAUGUGAAUUGCAGAAUUCCGUGAAUCAUCGAGUCUUUGAACGCACAUUGCGCCCCCUGGUAUUCCGGGGGGCAUGCCUGUCCGAGCGUCAUUGCUGCCCUCAAGCACGGCUUGUGUGUUGGGCCGUCGUCCCCCUCCUAGGGGACGGGCCCGAAAGGCAGCGGCGGCACCGCGUCCGGUCCUCGAGCGUAUGGGGCUUCGUCACCCGCUCCGUAGGCCCGGCCGGCGCUUGCCGACGACCAUCAAUCUCUUUCUCCAGGUUGACCUCGGAUCAGGUAGGGAUACCCGCUGAACUUAAGCAUAUCAAUAAGCGGAGGA
This 347-nucleotide unclassified non-coding RNA is filed under the name soil metagenome. Its description in RNAcentral is "partial contains 5.8S ribosomal RNA, internal transcribed spacer 2, and large subunit ribosomal RNA". The stretch from base 1 to 120 matches the Rfam family "5.8S ribosomal RNA", at positions 35 to 154 of the family's 154-position model. The record is from RNAcentral.